GUGUCAGCAGCCGCGGUAAUACAGAGGUCCCAAGCGUUGUUCGGAUUCACUGGGCGUAAAGGGUGCGUAGGUGGCCAGGUAAGUUUGAUGUGAAAGCUCGGAGCUUAACUCCGAAAUGGCAUUGAAUACUCUCUGGCUAGAGGUUUGGAGGGGAGACUGGAAUUCUCGGUGUAGCAGUGAAAUGCGUAGAUAUCGAGAGGAACACCAGUGGCGAAGGCGAGUCUCUGGACAACACCUGACACUGAGGCACGAAAGCUAGGGGAGCAAACAGGAUUAGAUACCCUGGUAGUCC
This 292-nucleotide ribosomal RNA is filed under the name uncultured bacterium. RNAcentral's name for it is "partial 16S ribosomal RNA". It matches the Rfam family "Bacterial small subunit ribosomal RNA", at positions 505 to 796 of the family's 1533-position model. The record is from RNAcentral.